UACGUAGGUGGCAAGCGUUGUCCGGAAUUAUUGGGCGUAAAGCGCGCGCAGGCGGUCCUUUAAGUCUGAUGUGAAAGCCCUCGGCUCAACCGAGGAGGGUCAUUGGAAACUGGAGGACUUGAGUGCAGAAGAGGAAAGUGGAAUUCCAAGUGUAGCGGUGAAAUGCGUAGAGAUUUGGAGGAACACCAGUGGCGAAGGCGACUUUCUGGUCUGUAACUGACGCUGAGGAGCGAAAGCGUGGGUAGCAAACAGG
Molecule: ribosomal RNA, 253 nt
Filed under: uncultured bacterium
Lineage: Bacteria
Description: partial 16S ribosomal RNA
Rfam family: Bacterial small subunit ribosomal RNA
Source: RNAcentral